UCAGGCCUAACACAUGCAAGUCGAGCGGAAACGAGCUAUCUGAACCUUCGGGGAACGAUAACGGCGUCGAGCGGCGGACGGGUGAGUAAUGCCUAGGAAAUUGCCCUGAUGUGGGGGAUAACCAUUGGAAACGAUGGCUAAUACCGCAUGAUGCCUACGGGCCAAAGAGGGGGACCUUCGGGCCUCUCGCGUCAGGAUAUGCCUAGGUGGGAUUAGCUAGUUGGUGAGGUAAGGGCUCACCAAGGCGACGAUCCCUAGCUGGUCUGAGAGGAUGAUCAGCCACACUGGAACUGAGACACGGUCCAGACUCCUACGGGAGGCAGCAGUGGGGAAUAUUGCACAAUGGGCGCAAGCCUGAUGCAGCCAUGCCGCGUGUGUGAAGAAGGCCUUCGGGUUGUAAAGCACUUUCAGUCGUGAGGAAGGUGGUGUAGUUAAUAGCUGCAUUACUUGACGUUAGCGACAGAAGAAGCACCGGCUAACUCCGUGCCAGCAGCCGCGGUAAUACGGAGGGUGCGAGCGUUAAUCGGAAUUACUGGGCGUAAAGCGCAUGCAGGUGGUUUGUUAAGUCAGAUGUGAAAGCCCGGGGCUCAACCUCGGAAUAGCAUUUGAAACUGGCAGACUAGAGUACUGUAGAGGGGGGUAGAAUUUCA
This 650-nucleotide ribosomal RNA is filed under the name uncultured bacterium. RNAcentral describes it as "bacterial SSU rRNA". It matches the Rfam family "Bacterial small subunit ribosomal RNA", at positions 42 to 671 of the family's 1533-position model. The record is from RNAcentral.